Molecule: long non-coding RNA, 2079 nt
Filed under: Aotus nancymaae (Ma's night monkey)
Lineage: Eukaryota; Metazoa; Chordata; Mammalia; Primates; Aotidae
Description: lncRNA (ENSANAG00000039566.1)
Source: RNAcentral
GUUUUCAACCGAAACUUUGACGGCUUAAUUCCUCCUCCCGGUUACAGCGAUUAUACGUUGAUCGUCCUUUACCGUAUCUCAUUGGGUCAAAGCUGUUCAUGGAACAAGAAGAUGUAGGUCUUGGAGAGCUGUCCAGUGAAGAAGGCUCUGUAGGCAGUGAUCGUGGCAGUAUUGUGGACAGUGAGGAAGAGAAAGAAGAAGAGGAGUCAGAUGAAGAUUUUGCCAAUCAUAGUGACAAUGAUCAAAACUGGCACACGACACAAAUGAGUGAUGAAGAAGAGGAUGAUGAUGGUUGUGACCUUUUUGCUGACUCCGAGAAGAAGGAGGAAGAUAUUGAGGACAUUGAAGAAAGUACUAGACCUAAAAGAAGCAGACGUACGUCAUUUGCUAAUGAGCUGGCUGCCCGCAUCAAGGGUGACGCCGUGGGCCGAGUGGACGAGGAGCCAACAACCUUAUCCUCAGGAGAAGCAAAACCUCGGAAGACACUGAAAGAGAAGAAGGAAAGGAGAACUUCAGACGGUGGGCCUUUUCCAUCAAUUCUAUUAAUUUAGGAGACUUUUGACUCAGAUGAAGAGGAUAACUUAUUCGCACCCCCUAAGCUGACCGAUGAGGACUUCUCACCAUUUGGCUCUCGAGGUGGCCUGUUUAGUGGGGGCAAGGGGCUCUUUGAUGAUGAGGAUGAGGAGGUGAGUCCAUGGUACCCAGCGACACUCCCUGCAGCUGUAUCGGGUUCACAAGGAAGAAAUAUGCUUUGUUUCUUUAGUGGGAGAAAACAGCUUCUCAGUUGGAAGUUGUUUCUAUUUUCAGAUUUUGGGACAUUUUGAACUAAGAAUCUCAGAGUGAGAAAUACCGUAUUCUUCUAUCCCUGUCUCUUAUACACAUCUAGAUGUGUAUAAGAGACAGGGUUCACACUGGCUCACAGCUGUGGCUGUCUUGUCCCUCUGCCCACAGGAGACACAGAUGUGUUUGGUGCUGUCUCCAUUUCAUCAUUGAAGGAGCCCCAAAAGCCUGAGCAGCCCAUUCCAAGAAAAAGCCCAUACCUUCCACCUCCCACUGGCCUCUUUGAUGAUGAUGGUGAUGACGACUUUUUCUCAGCACCCUGCAGCAAAUCUUCCAAGACGGGUACCUGUUUCUGCCUCUGUUUCUGGUACUUCAGCCAGAAAAAAAAAUGUUGCCUAUAAAGGGACNNNNNNNNNNNNNNNNNNNNNNNNNNNNNNNNNNNNNNNNNNNNNNNNNNNNNNNNNNNNNNNNNNNNNNNNNNNNNNNNNNNNNNNNNNNNNNNNNNNNGAAAACAGCUUCUCAGUUGGAAGUUGUUUCUAUUUUCAGAUUUUGGGACAUUUUGAACUAAGAAUCUCAGAGUGAGAAAUACUGUAUUCUUCUAUCCUUUGUUAGGUGAGGAGAAGAUGUGCACUUGUUAGUGUGAAUAAUUUACUAGGUGAUUGUUUCUUCUCUUUCAUCUUUGUAUUUCAUUCCUGGACAGACCUCCCAAAGUGCUGGGAUUACAGGUGUGAGUCACCACUGUCUCUUAUACACAUCUAGAUGUGUAUAAGAGACAGCCCCUAGUUUGUAUCUCUUAUAAUACCAGAUCCCUUCUCCAGCAUUCCUGUCAUUGAGCUGUUGUGUCUGUACUUACAUAGCUAUGGUGCCUGGGAGGCCUCUUUUAUGAACCAAUCUUUUCUGCUCUGGAAGCUAAUUACUAUUAUUUUCCUUAUAGAGAGCUGAAAUCUUUUUCCCUAUAAUUUUUGUUCACAAUUUCUAGUUCUGACCUUUGGAAUUAUAACGUUUUAAUCAUACUUUCUUCCAGCAGACCUUAGUCAAUUACAUGAGCAGCAUGUUGUGUGCUGGCCAUUUAGUUCCCACCUUCUCUUCUCUCCGCCAAAAAGCUCAGGUGGCCUUGGUCUUUCCUCCUGUGAUGGGGUUUUCAGCCCCUUGGCUACUUUGACAUUCUCCUUUCUUUUCCUCUUAAAUGUAAGUCCUGUGUCCCUGAAGUCAUUCCUGUAAAUCAUUUGUUUUUUAUGUGCAGAUGAAUCUCCCAGGGGCUUUUGUCAAAAUGAAGAUUCCAAUUCAGUAGGUCUAGGG